Long non-coding RNA from Phyllopteryx taeniolatus (common seadragon), 546 nucleotides. RefSeq lists it as uncharacterized. The transcript has 3 exons. Lineage: Eukaryota; Metazoa; Chordata; Actinopteri; Syngnathiformes; Syngnathidae. The record is from RefSeq and is a predicted model, not a curated record.
CGGAGUGCGAGGUUGUCAUGGCGACUGGGAAACUACUCGGCAGCUCCGUCCCGCCCUCCCUCACGGCCGUGCUUCUCCUCGUGGUCGCCCCUGCUGAGAAAGCGAGAGAGCCCGUGAACAAAAAGGGAGGAGCAUCUACAUGCGCAACGGAGAGUUGAUUGUCUGAGGACGAGGAAGAAAAGACUCUCCGUAUUGAACUUCCUCUGCCUCUUGUGAGCCCGAGGAAAACCCGUCAAAGAGUCGAUUGUAUUCAUAGCAAAGUCCACGUGGCGGUUACCUCUUGAAGCGUGCAUAUACGUGUGGGAGAGAGUGUGUACCUUGCGCUAGGAUGUGGUCAUAUUCGCUUCCGGGACCCAUGCUGGACUCUGCCUGUGUGUUGGAACAAGUCAUGUGGCGAUUCUACACAUCGAGGCUGAGAUUUUUUUUCUUAUGAGAGGAAGUUCCUUAUCUUGCGGAUCCUGAGGAGAUGAGGACGAGGAAGAAGGUUGAGAAGAUCCAAGCUGUCUAUGAGGUUGGAAAGAUCAGAGCGACCAGAGACCAUUCCGA